Solanum pennellii is the source of this 1239-nucleotide long non-coding RNA. RefSeq lists it as uncharacterized. NCBI's taxonomy places the organism in Eukaryota, Viridiplantae, Streptophyta, Magnoliopsida, Solanales, Solanaceae. The transcript is spliced from 4 exons. The record is from RefSeq and is a predicted model, not a curated record.
CUUCUUCUUCUUGUUUUCUUUCUUUCUUCUUCUCUUUCUUCUUGAUUUCUUUCUUUUUUUUUCUUCUUCUUGUUUUCUUGAGGAAGAAGGUGAUGGAAAAUUGUUAAUUUUUCGAUUUUUUACAUUGUAAAGAGGAAAUGACGAUGACCCACAAUAGGUGUUCGUCAGUUUCGAGUGCGGUGACGAAGAGACAAGCAAUGGUGGCGGAUUCAUCGGGGUUGGAGAAUAAUCAGGCCGGAAAUUUCUAAUAUCUCGAAUUUAUACAACUGUAUCUGCUCGUAAUGGGAUUUCUCAUUCCUCCAAACUUGCAGGUACAUGCAUUUGUCGCUCCCAAAAUUAUAGGUGGGAAAAAUGCUCUGUCUCCAGUUGGGGAACUUGGAAUGGUAGAGAUGACCCAGGUUCUGGAACUAAAUUGAUGUUUGCUAUGAGCAGACUUUCUUUUCAGGAUGUCAAAUUCCCAGAGUCAAUUUAUUCCUAGCAUUCACUCAGGUGGCUUUGCUGAUACUGGCCCACGUAGUUCAUGGAAGAUGAAAAUAUAAGGAUAGAUGAUCUGCACAUCUUGGCUCACUCAUGAAGUUUCCGAAGCCCAGUGCUUUCUAUGGGGUAGCUGCUAGAGGCCUUAUUUGUCCCUGUGCAUUUUCAAAGGCAAAGCUUUUCUAACAUAUAGUUUUAUAGAUAUUUGAUGGUCAUGGAGGACCAGAGGCUGCAGACACCAAGUUUACGGAGACUUCAGAAGUUUAUGAUGCAUUUCUAGAAGGGGUGGACCUACUUUAGCCGAUGACUGUAAUGUUAGCAGCUCUUGUGUUAGGAAGGCUAUUAAUGCAUGAGACUGCCGAGCUGUACUUGGAGAGGCAAUUGACAUGUCUCAAGACCAUUAGAUUAAAUUAUCCAUCAGAGAGGUGACAUUUUCUUUUACAUUUUUGAUUCCAUUUGAUGGGAAAGUUAAUGAGAAGGCAAUGAUUCUUCCACUUAAUUAAAGUUUUCUCUUCACUUUAUUGAACCAUACAUUGAGUUAGAUCUAAUUUGUGAAGAGGGAAGCCAGGAUAUUAUAAAUUGGCCCAUAUACCUAAAAUUUCAUGAGACUCAAAAUUGACCAAUGCCAAUUAAGCCCAUACAAUUGCACUGACCGUUACAGCUUGGAAAGUGAUUCUCUCCCUUGUAUCUAAAUAAAAAUAGCCCCCGCCAACAAUUUAUGUAACACUUUUUAGACUCUGAGAUUCAAACAAAUCUAUUUUUUGA